Molecule: ribosomal RNA, 500 nt
Filed under: uncultured bacterium
Lineage: Bacteria
Description: partial 16S ribosomal RNA
Rfam family: Bacterial small subunit ribosomal RNA
Source: RNAcentral
AUUGAACGCUGGCGGCAUGCCUUACACAUGCAAGUCGAACGGCAGCACGGGAGCAAUCCUGGUGGCGAGUGGCGAACGGGUGAGUAAAGUAUCGGAACGUGCCCAGUCGUGGGGGAUAACGUAGCGAAAGUUACGCUAAUACCGCAUACGAUCUAUGGAUGAAAGCGGGGGAUCGCAAGACCUCGCGCGUUUGGAGCGGCCGAUAUCAGAUUAGCUAGUUGGUGGGGUAAAGGCCCACCAGGGCGACGAUCUGUAGCUGGUCUGAGAGGACGACCAGCCACACUGGAACUGAGACACGGUCCAGACUCCUACGGGAGGCAGCAGUGGGGAAUUUUGGACAAUGGGCGCAAGCCUGAUCCAGCAAUGCCGCGUGCAGGAUGAAGGCCUUCGGGUUGUAAACUGCUUUUGUACGGAACGAAACGGCCCUUUCUAAUACAGGGGGCUAAUGACGGUACCGUAAGAAUAAGCACCGGCUAACUACGUGCCAGCCGCCGCCGUAA